GAUGAAGAACGCAGCGAAAUGCGAUAAGUAAUGUGAAUUGCAGAAUUCAGUGAAUCAUCGAAUCUUUGAACGCACAUUGCGCCCGCCAGUAUUCUGGCGGGCAUGCCUGUCUGAGCGUCAUUUCAACCCUCAUGCCCCUAGGGCGUGGUGUUGGGGAUCGGCCAAAGCCCGCGAGGGACGGCCGGCCCCUAAAUCUAGUGGCGGACCCGUCGUGGCCUCCUCUGCGAAGUAGUGAUAUUCCGCAUCGGAGAGCGAUGAGCCCCUGCCGUUAAACCCACAACUUUCCAAGGUUGACCUCAGAUCAGGUAGGAAUACCCGCUGAACUUAAGCAUAUCAAUAAGCGGAGGA
Molecule: unclassified non-coding RNA, 348 nt
Filed under: soil metagenome
Description: partial contains 5.8S ribosomal RNA, internal transcribed spacer 2, and large subunit ribosomal RNA
Rfam family: 5.8S ribosomal RNA (bases 1-120)
Source: RNAcentral